GCAGUCGCCACGGUAAUACGGAGGGUGCAAGCGUUAAUCGGAAUUACUGGGCGUAAAGCGCACGCAGGCGGUCUGUCAAGUCAGAUGUGAAAUCCCCGGGCUUAACCUGGGAACUGCAUUUGAAACUGGCAGGCUAGAGUCUUGUAGAGGGGGGUAGAAUUCCAGGUGUAGCGGUGAAAUGCGUAGAGAUCUGGAGGAAUACCGGUGGCGAAGGCGGCCCCCUGGACAAAGACUGACGCUCAGGUGCGAAAGCGUGGGGAGCAAACAGGAUUAGAUACCCCUGUAGUCCCUGUCUCUUAUAC
This 302-nucleotide ribosomal RNA is filed under the name uncultured bacterium. RNAcentral describes it as "partial 16S ribosomal RNA". It matches the Rfam family "Bacterial small subunit ribosomal RNA", at positions 508 to 807 of the family's 1533-position model. The record is from RNAcentral.